RNAcentral lists this long non-coding RNA (358 nucleotides) under Nicotiana benthamiana. Its description in RNAcentral is "long non-coding RNA (NBEN_LNC030748)". Lineage: Eukaryota; Viridiplantae; Streptophyta; Magnoliopsida; Solanales; Solanaceae. The record is from RNAcentral.
UAAUAGACAUACGAUUAGUUAUAUGGGUAAAUAAAUAGCGCAAGUAUUGUUCAUAUUCAUGCUUGUAUUUAUAAAUAUCGGCCUUAACUGUGACGCGAGGCCAACCUUUAUACGUAGGAUUAAAUACUCUUCUAAUAUAAUGAAUCCAAGCAGGAUUAGAAGCAAAAGAAUAAGGCAAACACAUACCAGUAAUCAUUUUAGCUAAUUCUUCACGAUCCUUAUUUGGAUCUUAAUACAAUAUACCUCCGGUGACUGUGUUUAUUCCUGGUUAAAAUAGAUUUGAACCAGUACUUGGGUUAACUGUUGUAUCAGGACUUGCCCUCCCCUCUUGUUGCGCUUUCAAUUGGAAAUAUCUAGC